RNAcentral lists this ribosomal RNA (419 nucleotides) under uncultured microorganism. RNAcentral's name for it is "bacterial SSU rRNA". It matches the Rfam family "Bacterial small subunit ribosomal RNA", at positions 9 to 428 of the family's 1533-position model. The record is from RNAcentral.
GAGUUUGAUCGUGGCUCAGAUUGAACGCUGGCGGCAUGCCUUACACAUGCAAGUCGAACGGCAGCAUGAUCUAGCUUGCUAGAUUGAUGGCGAGUGGCGAACGGGUGAGUAAUACAUCGGAACGUGCCCUGUAGUGGGGAUAACUAGUCGAAAGAUUAGCUAAUACCGCAUACGACCUGAGGGUGAAAGUGGGGGACCGCAAGGCCUCAUGCUAUAGGAGCGGCCGAUGUCUGAUUAGCUAGUUGGUGGGUAAAGGCCCACCAAGGCGACGAUCAGUUAGCUGGUCUGAGAGGACGAUCAGCCACACUGGGACUGAGACACGGCCCAGACUCCUACGGGAGGCAGCAGUGGGGAAUUUUGGACAAUGGGCGAAAGCCUGAUCCAGCAAUGCCGCGUGUGUGAAGAAGGCCUCGGUGUAA